GGGGAAUAUUGCACAAUGGGGGAAACCCUGAUGCGGCGACGCCGCGUGAAGGAAGAAGUAUCUCGGUAUGUAAACUUCUAUCAGCAGGGAAGAUAGUGACGGUACCUGACUAAGAAGCCCCGGCUAACUACGUGCCAGCAGCCGCGGUAAUACGUAGGGGGCAAGCGUUAUCCGGAUUUACUGGGUGUAAAGGGAGCGUAGACGGACUGGCAAGUCUGAUGUGAAAGGCGGGGGCUCAACCCCUGGACUGCAUUGGAAACUGUUAGUCUUGAGUGCCGGAGAGGUAAGCGGAAUUCCUAGUGUAGCGGUGAAAUGCGUAGAUAUUAGGAGGAACACCAGUGGCGAAGGCGGCUUACUGGACGGUAACUGACGUUGAGGCUCGAAGGCGUGGGGAGCAAAC
This 400-nucleotide ribosomal RNA is filed under the name uncultured bacterium. RNAcentral's name for it is "bacterial SSU rRNA". It matches the Rfam family "Bacterial small subunit ribosomal RNA", at positions 356 to 773 of the family's 1533-position model. The record is from RNAcentral.